CAUAAUGAAUUGGAGGGGAGCGGUGGGGCACGAUUCAGUCCACUGCACACCGUUCUCCUCUCCAGACCUCUCACUGGCAAGUCCUUUCAUCUCAAUUUCAGUUCUGUGAGGCCGUCCUACUAUUGUCUAUCACCCUGUUUGAUUUUUUUGUAGCCUCAUCAUUUAUUCAUUACAGUUUCUUAAGUUCUUUUUUUUAGGGAGCUUGUCAUUGCCUAGAAGAGUGCUGGGCACACAAUAGUGAUACUGAAUAUACAACUAAAAUCAUGUAAUAUAGCACAUGAGAUUCUUAAUGCUAAAAUUAAGACUUUUUAACAUGAAAAAUGCUCUUAAGGGCAGAAAUGAAGCAAAUUUCAGGCAAGAUGGCAGACAAGACUGAAACGGAUUCAUCCAUCAACUGCUACAGACUUAAAAAACAAAAUAUGCCCAAUGCAAAGCUGAGCUCAGGAAAUCCUCAGAUGCUAGAGAUAAAGACAAAAUCCAGUUGCAGAAGUGAGUUCCAGGUGAUGCCAGGAGACCCCAGGAAGUAUCAGAUUAGGUCACAAAACUAGGAAUAAGGUUUUAAUGUCUUCAGAAAAACAGAGCAUUUGGUGAGAGAAGGGAACUAAUCCGAGACUCCCGCAUACAACCAGGACACUUGAAGGGCUGCCUCACCUGUGAAAAAGAAACUGGAAAAAUCUCUUCAAAUCUGUCUGUGGAAACAGAAAGACAGCCUGGUGUUUGACAAAGCUCUCGGUGGGACAAACCUCCUCUGAGAAAUGGAAACCUAGGAAAUCAAAAGCCCAGAAAUUAAGGGAAAGCAUUAGUCUCAGAUAAUGAAAAGGAAACCCUUGGGGCCCGGGCCAAAGCAAAUGUAAAAACAUGAACACUUGCAUAAUCUCGUACAUGGGACUCACAGAAAAUGCAACCCCUAAUAUAGAUGAGCUCGCAAUGAAAAAUUAUCCACCACUGUGGCAAUGCAGUCACCAAAAGGAAGACUCAACAGACCAAUGAGCAUAGACACGAGCUGUGGAUAGUAUGAUCAGCUUGUCGAAAGAAUGAAUCAAUGACACUCUGUCUUCGUGGAGAGCAGCCUGGGUGUGGAAUCAGGCACCCCCGGGUUCAAAGCCAUCACUGGCGAACUCACAAAGAGUGGGACUCACCGACCUGAGGGUUUGCCAGCACACUCGUAGCCCGCGGGACUAGAGUAUUUGUGAGAGAGGAGUGUGGUCUUGUGAUUGAAGAACAGAAGUCAUUCGUGAAGGACACAGCACACACAGCCCAGAGAGCUCGCAGGUUAAAACUGCACAUGGAGCAAUGUCUGCCAGCCAUUCAGGGUACUUCAAAAUAGGUCAGAAUACGUUUCCAGAAAGUGACACCUUCUUUUUGGGUUUGCGUAUAAUAAUAAAUCUAGGGGAUAAGAACGCAAACACAGUAUUCACAAUCAAGUUAUUUAGACCUUUUAGAUUGUAUACAAAUGACAUAGAAAAAUGUACAGCCAGUCCACUGGGUUGUAAUUUUAGAAACAAACAUCUCAAGUCAUAAUAAUAAAGUAGAGUUUUAAAA
RNAcentral lists this long non-coding RNA (1542 nucleotides) under Homo sapiens (human). RNAcentral describes it as "long non-coding RNA NONHSAT209974.1". The record is from RNAcentral. Lineage: Eukaryota; Metazoa; Chordata; Mammalia; Primates; Hominidae.